GUGAAUGACCAUUUGGUCUACCUGUACAGCUAAUAAAAUCAAUAUACACCAACUGCCAUAUCUUUGUGAAUCUAAUGAGAGUCUAGCACUAUGCAUAAUGAUUAUGCUAACAGUAGUAGGACAAAUACACCCACAGGGAACAGGUGUUGGGGUUGGGGUGAGUUUUCCAAAAAGAAGUAAAAAGGUGACUCAGUUUUGGUCUCCUUUCAAUUGAAAUGGGUCAUACAUCUAUAGAUCUACAUCACCAAUUUGAUCCAACACCACAAACAAAAUCUUUUAUAUUCAUAAUUUGAUAUCCCCAUGAAUGUGCAUCAUUAAGUCAAGGUAAGGAGUCGAUUGCAGUACUGCUUGCUAGGUUAAAAUACCAUACUGUCCAACUCAACUCAACUCAACUCA
Molecule: unclassified non-coding RNA, 396 nt
Filed under: Hevea brasiliensis (rubber tree)
Lineage: Eukaryota; Viridiplantae; Streptophyta; Magnoliopsida; Malpighiales; Euphorbiaceae
Source: RNAcentral